CUGGCGGCGUGCUAUACAUGCAGUCGAGCGAACAGAUGAGAAGCUUGCUUCUCUGAUGUUAGCGGCGGACGGGUGAGUAACACGUGGGUAACCUACCUAUAAGACUGGGAUAACUCCGGGAAACCGGGGCUAAUACCGGAUAAUAUUUUGAACCGCAUGGUUCAAUAGUGAAAGACGGUUUCGGCUGUCACUUAUAGAUGGACCCGCGCCGUAUUAGCUAGUUGGUAAGGUAACGGCUUACCAAGGCGACGAUACGUAGCCGACCUGAGAGGGUGAUCGGCCACACUGGAACUGAGACACGGUCCAGACUCCUACGGGAGGCAGCAGUAGGGAAUCUUCCGCAAUGGGCGAAAGCCUGACGGAGCAACGCCGCGUGAGUGAUGAAGGUCUUCGGAUCGUAAAACUCUGUUGUUAGGGAAGAACAAAUUUGUUAGUAACUGAACAAGUCUUGACGGUACCUAACCAGAAAGCCACGGCUAACUACGUGCCAGCAGCCGCGGUAAUACGUAGGUGGCAAGCGUUAUCCGGAAUUAUUGGGCGUAAAGCGCGCGUAGGCGGUUUCUUAAGUCUGAUGUGAAAGCCCACGGCUCAACCGUGGAGGGUCAUUGGAAACUGGGAAACUUGAGUGCAGAAGAGGAGAGUGGAAUUCCAUGUGUAGCGGUGAAAUGCGCAGAGAUAUGGAGGAACACCAGUGGCGAAGGCGGCUCUCUGGUCUGUAACUGACGCUGAUGUGCGAAAGCGUGGGGAUCAAACAGGAUUAGAUACCCUGGUAGUCCACGCCGUAAACGAUGAGUGCUAAGUGUUAGGGGGUUUCCGCCCCUUAGUGCUGCAGCUAACGCAUUAAGCACUCCGCCUGGGGAGUACGACCGCAAGGUUGAAACUCAAAGGAAUUGACGGGGACCCGCACAAGCGGUGGAGCAUGUGGUUUAAUUCGAAGCAACGCGAAGAACCUUACCAAAUCUUGACAUCCUUUGACCGCUCUAGAGAUAGAGUCUUCCCCUUCGGGGGACAAAGUGACAGGUGGUGCAUGGUUGUCGUCAGCUCGUGUCGUGAGAUGUUGGGUUAAGUCCCGCAACGAGCGCAACCCUUAAGCUUAGUUGCCAUCAUUAAGUUGGGCACUCUAGGUUGACUGCCGGUGACAAACCGGAGGAAGGUGGGGAUGACGUCAAAUCAUCAUGCCCCUUAUGAUUUGGGCUACACACGUGCUACAAUGGAUAAUACAAAGGGCAGCGAAUCCGCGAGGCCAAGCAAAUCCCAUAAAAUUAUUCUCAGUUCGGAUUGUAGUCUGCAACUCGACUACAUGAAGCUGGAAUCGCUAGUAAUCGUAGAUCAGCAUGCUACGGUGAAUACGUUCCCGGGUCUUGUACACACCGCCCGUCACACCACGAGAGUUUGUAACACCCGAAGCCGGUGGAGUAACCUUUUAGGAGCUAGCCGUCGAAGGUCACAAAG
This 1452-nucleotide ribosomal RNA is filed under the name Mammaliicoccus sp. RNAcentral describes it as "bacterial SSU rRNA". It matches the Rfam family "Bacterial small subunit ribosomal RNA". The record is from RNAcentral. Lineage: Bacteria; Bacillati; Bacillota; Bacilli; Caryophanales; Staphylococcaceae.